GACGAACGCUGGCGGCGUGCUUAACACAUGCAAGUCGAACGGAAAGGCCUGCUUUCCCUUGUGGAUUGCGGGUACUCGAGUGGCGAACGGGUGAGUAACACGUGAGUGAUCUGCCCCCAACUUGGGUAUAAGCCUGGGAUACUGGGUCUAAUUUCCGAUAGGACUGCAGGGUGGUGCCUGUGGUGGACAACGAUUUUCUAGUGGUUGGGGAUGAGCUCGCGGCCUAUCAGCUUGUUGCUGGGGUAAUGGCCUACCAAGGCGGCGACGGGUAGCCGGCCUGAGAGGGGGGACGGCCACAUUGGGACUGAGAUACGGCUCAGACGCCUGCGAGAGGCAGCAAUUGGGAAUAUUGCAGAGUGGGCGGGAGCCUGAUGCAGCGAGGGCGCGAGGAGGAUGUCGGCAUUCGAGUUGUAAACUCCUUUCGACCGAGAGGAAGCCACCUGGUUGGAAGGGUGGUGACGGUAGUGGUAGAAGAAGCACCGGCUAACUACGUG
RNAcentral lists this ribosomal RNA (494 nucleotides) under uncultured bacterium. RNAcentral describes it as "partial 16S ribosomal RNA". It matches the Rfam family "Bacterial small subunit ribosomal RNA", at positions 28 to 507 of the family's 1533-position model. The record is from RNAcentral.